CGCGGGAUGGAGCAGCCCGGUAGCUCGUCAGGCUCAUAACCUGAAGGUCAUAGGUUCAAAUCCUAUUCCCGCACCCA
This 77-nucleotide transfer RNA is filed under the name Alphaproteobacteria bacterium. RNAcentral describes it as "tRNA-Met". It matches the Rfam family "tRNA". Rfam says of the family: Transfer RNA (tRNA) molecules are approximately 80 nucleotides in length. Their secondary structure includes four short double-helical elements and three loops (D, anti-codon, and T loops). Lineage: Bacteria; Pseudomonadati; Pseudomonadota; Alphaproteobacteria. The record is from RNAcentral.